GAUGAACGCUGGCGGCGUGCCUAAUACAUGCAAGUCGAGCGAACAGACGAGGAGCUUGCUCCUCUGACGUUAGCGGCGGACGGGUGAGUAACACGUGGAUAACCUACCUAUAAGACUGGGAUAACUUCGGGAAACCGGAGCUAAUACCGGAUAAUAUAUUGAACCGCAUGGUUCAAUAGUGAAAGACGGUUUUGCUGUCACUUAUAGAUGGAUCCGCGCCGCAUUAGCUAGUUGGUAAGGUAACGGCUUACCAAGGCGACGAUGCGUAGCCGACCUGAGAGGGUGAUCGGCCACACUGGAACUGAGACACGGUCCAGACUCCUACGGGAGGCAGCAGUAGGGAAUCUUCCGCAAUGGGCGAAAGCUUGACAGAGCAACUCCGCGUGAGUGAUGAAGGUCUUCGGAUCGUAAAACUCUGUUAUUAGGGAAGAACAAAUGUGUAAGUAACUAUGCACGUCUUGACGGUACCUAAUCAGAAAGCCACGGCUAACUACGUG
RNAcentral lists this ribosomal RNA (497 nucleotides) under uncultured bacterium. Its description in RNAcentral is "partial 16S ribosomal RNA". It matches the Rfam family "Bacterial small subunit ribosomal RNA", at positions 28 to 507 of the family's 1533-position model. The record is from RNAcentral.